RNAcentral lists this ribosomal RNA (551 nucleotides) under uncultured bacterium. Its description in RNAcentral is "bacterial SSU rRNA". It matches the Rfam family "Bacterial small subunit ribosomal RNA", at positions 355 to 896 of the family's 1533-position model. The record is from RNAcentral.
UAGGGAAUCUCUNNNCAAUGGACGGAAGUCUGACCGAGCAACGCCGCGUGAGUGAAGAAGGUUUUCGGAUCGUAAAGCUCUGUUGUAAGAGAAGAACGAGUGUGAGAGUGGAAAGUUCACACUGUGACGGUAUCUUACCAGAAAGGGACGGCUAACUACGUGCCAGCAGCCGCGGUAAUACGUAGGUCCCGAGCGUUGUCCGGAUUUAUUGGGCGUAAAGCGAGCGCAGGCGGUUAGAUAAGUCUGAAGUUAAAGGCUGUGGCUUAACCAUAGUACGCUUUGGAAACUGUUUAACUUGAGUGCAAGAGGGGAGAGUGGAAUUCCAUGUGUAGCGGUGAAAUGCGUAGAUAUAUGGAGGAACACCGGUGGCGAAAGCGGCUCUCUGGCUUGUAACUGACGCUGAGGCUCGAAAGCGUGGGGAGCAAACAGGAUUAGAUACCCUGGUAGUCCACGCCGUAAACGAUGAGUGCUAGGUGUUAGACCCUUUCCGGGGUUUAGUGCCGUAGCUAACGCAUUAAGCACUCCGCCUGGGGAGUACGACCGCAAGGUUG